GCCCCAGUAACGGCGAGUGAAGCGGCAACAGCUCAAAUUUGAAAUCUGGCCCCUUGAGGUCCGAGUUGUAAUUUGUAGAGGAUGCUUUUGGUGAGGUGCCGCCCGAGUUCCCUGGAACGGGACGCCACAGAGGGUGAGAGCCCCGUCUGGCUGGCCACCGAGCCUCUGUAAAGCUCCUUCGACGAGUCGAGUAGUUUGGGAAUGCUGCUCAAAAUGGGAGGUAUAUGUCUUCUAAAGCUAAAUAUUGGCCAGAGACCGAUAGCGCACAAGUAGAGUGAUCGAAAGAUGAAAAGCACCUUGAAAAGAGGGUUAAAUAGUACGUGAAAUUGUUGAAAGGGAAGCGCUUGUGACCAGACUUGGGCGCGGCGGAUCAUCCGGGGUUCUCUCCGGUGCACUUCGCCGCGUUCAGGCCAGCAUCAGUUCGUCGCGGGGGAUAAAGGCUUCGGGAACGUGGCUCCUCCGGGAGUGUUAUAGCCCGUUGCAUAAUACCCUGCGGUGGACUGAGGACCGCGCAUCUGCAAGGAUGCUGGCGUAAUGGUCACCAGCGACCCGUCUUGAAACACGGACCAAGGAGUCGUCUUCGUAUGCGAGUGUUCGGGUGUCAAACCCCUACGCGUAAUGAAAGUGAACGCAGGUGAGAGCUUCGGCGCAUCAUCGACCGAUCCUGAUGUUCUCGGAUGGAUUUGAGUAAGAGCAUACGGGGCCGGAC
Molecule: ribosomal RNA, 709 nt
Filed under: fungal sp.
Lineage: Eukaryota; Fungi
Description: partial large subunit ribosomal RNA
Rfam family: Eukaryotic large subunit ribosomal RNA
Source: RNAcentral